Molecule: ribosomal RNA, 407 nt
Filed under: uncultured bacterium
Lineage: Bacteria
Description: bacterial SSU rRNA
Rfam family: Bacterial small subunit ribosomal RNA
Source: RNAcentral
UGGGGAAUAUUGCACAAUGGGCGCAAGCCUGAUGCAGCAACGCCGCGUGAGGGACGACGGCCUUCGGGUUGUAAACCUCUUUUAGCAAGGAAGAAGCGAAAGUGACGGUACUUGCAGAAAAAGCGCCGGCUAACUACGUGCCAGCAGCCGCGGUAAUACGUAGGGCGCAAGCGUUAUCCGGAAUUAUUGGGCGUAAAGAGCUCGUAGGCGGUUUGUCGCGUCUGCUGUGAAAACCCGAGGCUCAACCUCGGGCCUGCAGUGGGUACGGGCAGACUAGAGUGCGGUAGGGGAGAUUGGAAUUCCUGGUGUAGCGGUGGAAUGCGCAGAUAUCAGGAGGAACACCGAUGGCGAAGGCAGAUCUCUGGGCCGUAACUGACGCUGAGGAGCGAAAGGGUGGGGAGCAAACA